RNAcentral lists this ribosomal RNA (253 nucleotides) under uncultured bacterium. RNAcentral's name for it is "partial 16S ribosomal RNA". It matches the Rfam family "Bacterial small subunit ribosomal RNA", at positions 524 to 776 of the family's 1533-position model. RNAcentral also lists the same sequence under 1 other name. The record is from RNAcentral.
UACAGAGGGGGCAAGCGUUAUUCGGAAUUAUUGGGCGUAAAGGGCGCGUAGGCGGUGUCUUAAGUGAGAUGUGUAAUCCCCGAGCUUAACUUGGGAACUGCAUCUCAGACUGGGGCGCUAGAGUGCUGGAGAGGGUGGUAGAAUUCCACGUGUAGCGGUGAAAUGCGUAGAGAUGUGGAGGAAUACCAGUGGCGAAGGCGGCCACCUGGACAGUAACUGACGCUGAGGCGCGAAAGUGUGGGGAGCAAACAGG